RNAcentral lists this ribosomal RNA (468 nucleotides) under uncultured bacterium. Its description in RNAcentral is "partial 16S ribosomal RNA". It matches the Rfam family "Bacterial small subunit ribosomal RNA", at positions 28 to 507 of the family's 1533-position model. The record is from RNAcentral.
GACGAACGCUGGCGGCGUGCUUAACACAUGCAAGUCGAACGGAAAGGCCCUGCGUUUGUGUGUUGCUCGAUUGGCGAACGGGUGAGUAACACGUGAGUAACCUGCCCUUGACUUUGGGAUAACUUCAGGAAACUGGGGCUAAUACCGGAUAGGAGCUCCUGCUGCAUGUGGGUGGUUGGAAAGUUUCGGCGGUGGGGGCUGUACUCGCGGCUUAUCAGCUUGUUUGUGUGGUAGUUGCUUACCAAGGCUUUGACGGGUAGCCGGCCUGAGAGGGUUACCGGCCACCUUGGGACUGCGAUACGCACCAGAAUGCUACGGGAGGCAGUAGUGGGGAACCUUGCACAAUGGGCGGAAGCCUGAUGCAGAAACGCCGCGUGCGGGAUGCCGGCUUUCGGGUUGUAAACAGCUUUCGCAUGUGACGAAGAGUGCGUGACGGUAAUGGGUAAAGAAGCACCGGCUAACUACGUG